AACGCUAGCUACAGGCUUAACACAUGCAAGUCGAGGGGCAGCAUAAAAGUAGCAAUACUUUGGUGGCGACCGGCGCACGGGUGAGUAACGCGUAUGCAACCUACCUAUCAGAGGGGAAUAACCCGGCGAAAGUCGGACUAAUACCGCAUAAAACAGGGGCACCGCAUGGUGAUAUUUGUUAAAGAAAUUCGCUGAUAGAUGGGCAUGCGUUCCAUUAGGUAGUUGGUGAGGUAACGGCUCACCAAGCCGACGAUGGAUAGGGGAACUGAGAGGUUGGUCCCCCACACUGGUACUGAGACACGGACCAGACUCCUACGGGAGGCAGCAGUGAGGAAUAUUGGUCAAUGGGCGGGAGCCUGAACCAGCCAAGUCGCGUGAAGGAAGAAGGAUCUAUGGUUCGUAAACUUCUUUUGCAGGGGAAUAAAGUGCGGGACGUGUCCUGUUUUGUAUGUACCCUGAGAAUAAGGAUCGGCUAACUCCGUGCCAGCAGCCGCGGUAAUACGGAGGAUCCGAGCGUUAUCCGGAUUUAUUGGGUUUAAAGGGUGCGUAGGUGGUUUGAUAAGUCAGCGGUGAAAGUUUGCAGCUUAACUGUAAAGAUGCCGUUGAAACUGUCGGACUUGAGUGUAAAUGAGGUAGGCGGAAUGCGUGGUGUAGCGGUGAAAUGCAUAGAUAUCACGAAGAACUCCGAU
This 689-nucleotide ribosomal RNA is filed under the name uncultured bacterium. RNAcentral describes it as "bacterial SSU rRNA". It matches the Rfam family "Bacterial small subunit ribosomal RNA", at positions 32 to 713 of the family's 1533-position model. The record is from RNAcentral.